RNAcentral lists this ribosomal RNA (253 nucleotides) under uncultured bacterium. RNAcentral describes it as "partial 16S ribosomal RNA". It matches the Rfam family "Bacterial small subunit ribosomal RNA", at positions 524 to 776 of the family's 1533-position model. The record is from RNAcentral.
UACAGAGGUCUCAAGCGUUGUUCGGAUUCAUUGGGCGUAAAGGGUGCGUAGGUGGCGGGGUUAGUCAGGUGUGAAAUCUCGGGGCUCAACCCCGAAACUGCACUUGAUACUGCCUUGCUAGAGUACUGGAGAGGAGAUCGGAAUUUACGGUGUAGCAGUGAAAUGCGUAGAUAUCGUAAGGAAGACCAGUGGCGAAGGCGAAUCUCUGGACAGUUACUGACACUGAGGCACGAAGGCCAGGGGAGCAAACGGG